Molecule: long non-coding RNA, 313 nt
Organism: Mauremys mutica (yellowpond turtle)
Lineage: Eukaryota; Metazoa; Chordata; Testudines; Geoemydidae
Exons: 3
Source: RefSeq, a predicted model, not a curated record
CAGCUUCCAGAUGUUACAGAAGAAUUCAGUUCAAGAAACCAAGGUGAAUGAACCAAGUUCAUUCUUUGGAACACUUUGUUGUACAAGCAUUGCUGGAAAAGGGCACGGUGGUAAGCAAUUAAAAUGAAGGAGAGAAAUGUGGCCAGCAGGAGAGUUGGACGUCAGCAGAAUCAGUGAGGGAAGACCCUGUCCACUGUCUCUUGAUCGUUUCUCACCCCUAUGGAAAGCAUUCUGAGGAGUGAAGACUUCAUCCAGGGCUCCUCCUAAUCUCUACCCUCCCUGGAGUUUUAUUAGGAUCUUCAGCCAACUUGCA